RNAcentral lists this ribosomal RNA (375 nucleotides) under Triticum aestivum (bread wheat). RNAcentral describes it as "partial small subunit ribosomal RNA". Lineage: Eukaryota; Viridiplantae; Streptophyta; Magnoliopsida; Poales; Poaceae. The record is from RNAcentral.
AUGGAUGGGGUCCCUUGGCUAUUCAGGAAGGAUCUCGUGGUUAUAGUGGAGUAUGAUGGCUUCAAUAACGUAUCUGACUAUGCCUAUGAUAAAAUCCAAGUCCGGGCAAGAAUCAAGGGACUGCUCGAUGGUCUUACAGGGAAGAAGGAUUUGGCUAAGAAGGUUGCCACAAAUGUGGGAGAACCACCGAUCACGGUGGUGGUCAAUGAAGGAAAGAUUAAUCCGUCGAGCUUUCUCCGUGCAAGAGUUUAUGUUGAUAUCAACAAGCCACUAGUGAGAUUUGUGCCAAUCACUUUUAAAGAGAGGAAGAAAUACGAUGUUUAUUAUGAAAAACUUUCAGAUUUUUCAUCUUCUGCGGGUGUAUGGGUCAUGUAG